GAGAAAUCUAAAUAGCCGAAACACCGGCGGCAAAGGCGGAUACUUGUCCUAUUAAACAACCAAAUUGAAAAUUUUGAAUUUACUGAGAGAUUUGGAUCAGAGUUUCACAUUGCGUACCGGCACUUUUUCGAGGAAAUCCGCAAGAUCUGAAGGACCCAUCUUUGCCGCAACUUUCACUUUCCAAUCAGUGUUAAUCAAGAAGGUAUUUAACAUGAACUAAUUAAUAGUUAUAUGUUAAAUACAGUUACUUGAGUUCUAAGACCGUUAGUGAGCUGUAUCAAGGCUGGCUAAAGUGUGCGCUUUGUAAAGGAAGAAUGAGGACGUAAUGCUUGUAAUGUGCGUAACCCACGUAAUGCUUGUAAUGUGCGUAACCCAUCAUACCUAGAAUCUGUUCUAUAUAAAGCCACACAGCCGCCUACUCAUGAAAUCUCUCUUCUUAAUCAAUACAUUUCUAUCUUUUCUCUCCAUCUUUAAUCAUGAUCCAUUCAACAUUUCCUACUUGAAAUCUUAAAUAUUUACAUGGUAUCAGAGCUUUGGUUCUAGUUUCUAAUCUUGCUUUCUCUCUUAUUCUUCUUUCUUGAGCGUCUUUUGAUUUUGUUAAUCGUUUGGACACUCAAACGAGCUCCGAUUUGGCUGAUUUUUGGAAGGUAGCUUCGUGACUCAGUGGUCUUGAGAUUCAACGGUGGAGAUCGUGUUUCAACGGUUGGUUUAGGAGAAAUAUGAGUUUUAUCGUGGCUGGUCGUAUCUGAAAUUUCCAGAUUUUUCUGCAGCAGUUGUCGUGAGUCUUUGGAAGAUCUAACGGUGAGUUCUUCUCGGUUUGAGCUGAAAUUUUGCAGUGUUGUUCCUGACCCGUUUAUCUAUGAUUUGAACGGUGGAGAUUUUUGUUGGAAGUCCCGUUGUGGGAUUACGUUGGUUACGUUGGACUGGUUAUUAAAUUGGUUUGUACAAUGAGUGAUACUUACAAGGAUUUGAAGUUGAAGUUCUCCGUGAUUCUAAACGGGAACAACUACCUCUUGUGGAAGAGGACAACUACUAAUGUGCUCGGCAGUAGGAGGCUCACAAAUCACAUUGAAUCAACCUUUGAAGACUUGAAGAAUUUGGAUGAAAGCAUUGACAAAGACACAUGGAAGCAAGAUGACUUGAAUGUCCUUAGUGCUUUGCAUUGCUCCCUUGAAACUUCUAUCUUAGAAGGGUAUUCGUAUUGUGAGAUAUCCAAGGAGCUUUGGGAUACUCUCGCGAAUGUGUUUGGUAAUGAAUCAAAUUUGACUCGGAUCUAUGAGAUUAAGAAGGCUCUAGGGGAACUAAGUCAAGAAGAUAGCGACUUUAAUGCUCACUUUGGGAAGUAUAGAUCGCUUGUUGCUGAAUUAGAGAUGCUAAGGCCAUUCACUACGGAUGCAAAGACACUUAAGGAGCGUAGGGAACAAGAUCUUGUCUUUGGGUUGAUGUUGACUCUUAAUUCAAGCUACACGGAUGUGAUCCAACACAUCUUGAGAGAUGACAAGAUCCCUACCUUAGAACAAGUGUGUGCAAAGAUACAAAGGGAGUAUGGUUCGCAAGGUCUAUUUGGUAGCAAAGGAGAGAGUCUUCCAACGGCAAACAAGGUCGGGAUGGUGAAACAAGAUGAUAAAAAGACUUGGUUUUGUGAUCAUUGCAAGAAGAAGGGUCACCUCAAAGACAAGUGUUGGAUCCUACACCCUCACUUGAAGCCGGAAAAGUUCAAGAACUCCAAGCCGAGAGCUAAUGUAGCAAACACAAGUGAAAGAGGACUACUUGAUAAUGAAGAGAGGGCCAUUGUGCAAUAUGGAUAUCAAGAGAAAGCAAUGCGAGCUACUGCUCAAGACAAGGGAUGUACCACUUCUACCUCUCAAGCUCAAGAAACCAUCACCAUGAACAAGGCCGAUCUUGAAGCUCUUCUUCAAUCCAUAGCAUCCAAAAUGCAUCCCAGCGGUAUCUCUCUCUUUACCUCUAACUCUCAUGAUUCAAAUUCAUUAGUGUUAGACUCCGGAGCUUCUCAUCAUAUGAUAAGUAAUCCUAGGUUAUUAGAGAAUGUUAAACCGGCACUAGGGAAUGUUAAGGUUGCAAAUGGUCAUAAUGUUCCAAUAGAAGGAAUAGGUUGCAUAACCUUGUUUAACAAGAAGUCUAGUGCUUUCUAUAUGCCUAAGUUCACUUCUAACUUGCUCUCGGUCAAGAAAACAACUAAGGACUUAAAUUGUCUUGCUAUCUUUAGUCCUAAUGAUGUUAAGUUGCAGGAUAUUGAGAGCGGUACUGUGUUUGGACAAGGAGGCACCAAGGAUGAUCUCUAUGUUCUUGAAGACACUUCUUUAAACUCUUCUAUUUCCGCAAAUAAUGUUAAGACUUCAGUUGUAUUGUGGCAUGAUAGACUUGGCCAUCCACACUCUAGAGCUUUGAACUUGUUAUUACCCGGUUUAUCUUAUGAUUGUUCUCAUUGUGAAGCAUGCAUCUUAGGUAAACAUUGCAAAACGGUUUUCCCUAAGUCUAAUGCUAUUUAUGAGAAGUGUUUUGAUCUUGUGCAUUCGGAUGUUUGGACCUCACCUUGUGCAUCUAGAGAUAAUCAUAAAUACUUUGUGACAUUCAUAGAUGAGAAAUCUAAGUAUACUUGGGUAACUUUGCUUCCAUCUAAGGACAGAGUUUAUGAUGCAUUUCUAAACUUCCAAAACUAUGUGACUAAUCACUUUGAUGCAAAGAUCAAAAUUCUUAGAACAGAUAAUGGAGGUGAAUAUACGAGCACCAAGCUCAAAGCCCAUUUGGAAAAGUGUGGGAUCUUACACCAAACAAGCUGCCCAUACAACCCUCAACAAAAUGGUGUUGCGGAAAGGAAGAAUAGACACCUCAUGGAGGUCUCACGAGCAAUGCUAUUUCAUAAGCAUAUGCCUAAGAGGUUUUGGGGUGAUGCGGUUAUGACCGCUUGUUAUCUUAUUAAUAGAAUUCCAACUAGAGUUCUUAAUGAUCAAUCACCUUUUCAAGUAUUGAAUAACCAAAACCCUAACAUUGAGCACUUGAGAGUGUUUGGUUGUGUUUGUUUUGUAUUCAUUCCAGGUGACUUAAGGAAUAAGCUAGAGCCCAAGAGUACCAAGUGCGUGUUCAUCGGAUACUCCACUACUCAAAGAGGCUACAAAUGCUUUGAUCCAACCAAUAAUAGAUACUAUGUAUCUAGAGAUGUGAAAUUCAUGGAAGACAAGGCGUAUUUCGGAGAAAAGAAUUGGGAGAGUGUAAAGGACCUACCUAACUCAACUUCGGAUAGAGCAAAGAGUCUUAAACACAUUCUUGAGCAUUUGGGUAAUGUUAACAUACCUCAAGACACUACGGAAGAGAUACCAGGCGAAGUUACAAGUGGGACUCAAGAAAGUGAAGUUGAAACACCAAUAGAGUCGUCGCAUGGUAACCAUGAGAAUGUUGUAGGGGAAGAAUCUAGUGAAGAAGAGAUCGUCCACUAAGUGAAGAUGAAGUCAUUAGAUCAUCAAGCGAAGAAGAGACUAACUCAAUUCCUCAAACAACAAAUGAACCGGUCUACACGUUACAAAACCCAAGACGAAGUAAAAGGGCAAAGAAGCCUAAGGUUCUCUUCAAUUGUCAAGCUGUUGCUCACCCCAUUAAGCGACAUGUUCGAUUGACCUUCUUCCCGAGGAACAUAAAGCUUUUCUUAGUAAGCUAGAUGUGGAAUUCAUCCCACAAAGCUAUGAGGAAGCCAAGGAAAGAAAGGAAUGGACUAAUGCUGUGGAUGAUGAAGUACAAGCUAUGAUUCGGAAUCAUACAUGGGAUGAAGAAGAACUUCCACAAGGGAAGAGAUGUGUUAGCUCAAAGUGGGUUUUCACCAUAAAGUAUAAGAGUAAUGGUGAAAUUGAAAGACACAAGGCUAGAUUGGUUGCAAGAGGAUUCACUCAAACCUAUGGAGAGGAUUAUAGGGAAACUUUUGCUCCGGUAGCUAAGCAACACACCGUAAAAGUUGUUCUAUCUUUGGCUGUGAACUUGGAUUGGGAAUUGUGGCAAAUGGACGUCAAGAAUGCUUUCCUUCAGGGGGAGUUGAAAGAAGAAGUUUAUAUGACACCUCCUCCGGGUUUAGAAGACAUAGUGGCUCCGGGAAAGGUUUUAAGACUUCGAAAAGCUAUAUAUGGCCUCAAACAAUCCCCAAGAGCUUGGUACCACAAGUUGAGUUCAACCUUGCUUAGAGAAGGCUUCAAAAGGUCACAUUCGGAUCACACUUUGUUUACUAAACAAGAUAAUCAAGGAAUCGUAGUAGUGUUGAUCUAUGUUGAUGACUUGAUUAUCUCGGGCAGUAACAAAGAAGGUAUCCAAGCUAUUAAGUCUUCUUUACACUUGGCUUUUGAUAUUAAAGAUUUGGGUGUGUUAAAGUAUUUCUUAGGGAUCGAGGUGUGUAGAUCCAAGGAGGGACUGUUUCUCUCACAAAGGAAAUAUGCUCUUGAUCUUCUAAAACUUACAGGGAAGCUUGGAGCUAAACCAGUUGAUACACCAUUGGAGCAAGGUUACAAGGUCAAUCGAAAGGGGGAGAAAGAUGACACUCCUUACCAUUGCCCAGAACAAUACCGAAGACUCGUUGGUAAGCUUAUAUACUUGACAUAUACUCGACCGGACUUGUCUUUUGCUGUGAAUCAGGUAGCUCAACACAUGAAAGAGCCCACUGUUUAUCAUUGGAGCUUGGUGGAGAGAAUUCUGAGAUACAUCAAAGGAAGUCCUGGCAAAGGCAUAUGGAUGGGAAGAAACUCUAGCACAGAAAUUGUUGGAUAUUGUGAUGCAGAUUACAAUGGCGAUCGCAACACAAGACAAUCAACAACUGGCUUUUGUACAUUCAUUGGUGGGAAUCUUGUGACUUGGAAGUCGAAGAAGCAGAAAGUGGUCUCUUGUUCGAGUGCUGAAGCAGAGUAUAGGGCUAUGAAGAAACUCACAAACGAGUUAACAUGGCUAAAGGCUUUGCUGAAGGACUUUGGGAUCGAGCAGAAGACUCCAAUCACCUUUCAUUGUGACAAUCAAGCGGCGAUCCAUAUUGCUACAAACUCAGUGUUUCACGAGAGAACGAAGCAUAUAGAGACCGACUGCCACAAGACAAGAGAGAAGGUAGAAGAUGGUACCAUUCUCCCUUGUUACACUAAAAGCUCGGACCAAUUGGCCGAUAUCUUCACCAAGGCAGCAAGUAACCAAGUUUGCCAAUUUAUCCAUGGUAAACUUGGUCUUGUAGACCUCACACAUCCUUGAGAAAGACUCUCCAACUUGUAGGGAUAAUACUCUUUUUCCCUAAGCUUGGUUUUGUCCCACGUGGUUUUCCAAGCUUAGGUUUUUAAUGAGGUUAUUCUUGCAAGUGCCAAGUUUAUACACAAUUAGCAUUGUAGUAUAAACUUGAGGGGGAGUGUUAAUCAAGAAGGUAUUUAACAUGAACUAAUUAAUAGUUAUAUGUUAAAUACAGUUACUUGUGUUCUAAGACCGUUAGUGAGCUGUAUCAAGGCUGGCUAAAGUGUGCGCUUUGUAAAGGGAGAAUGAGGACGUAAUGCUUGUAAUGUGCGUAACCCACGUAAUGCUUGUAAUGUGCGUAACCCAUCAUACCUAGAAUCUGUUCUAUAUAAAGCCACACAGCGCCUACUCAUGAAAUCUCUCUUCUUAAUCAAUACAUUUCUAUCUUUUCUCUCCAUCUUUAAUCAUGAUCCAUUCAACAUUUCCUACUUGAAAUCUUAAAUAUUUACAAU
RNAcentral lists this long non-coding RNA (5714 nucleotides) under Arabidopsis lyrata. RNAcentral's name for it is "long non-coding RNA (ALYR_LNC000106)". Lineage: Eukaryota; Viridiplantae; Streptophyta; Magnoliopsida; Brassicales; Brassicaceae. The record is from RNAcentral.